GGAUGAGGUGGCUAGCGUUGUUCGGAAUUACUGGGCGUAAAGCGCACGUAGGCGGCGAUUUAAGUCAGGGGUGAAAGCCCAGUGCUCAACACUGGAACUGCCCUUGAGACUGGAUUGCUUGAAUCCGGGAGAGGUGAGUGGAAUUCCGAGUGUAGAGGUGAAAUUCGUAGAUAUUCGGAAGAACACCAGUGGCGAAGGCGGCUCACUGGACCGGCAUUGACGCUGAGGUGCGAAAGCGUGGGGAGCAAAC
Molecule: ribosomal RNA, 250 nt
Filed under: uncultured bacterium
Lineage: Bacteria
Description: partial 16S ribosomal RNA
Rfam family: Bacterial small subunit ribosomal RNA
Source: RNAcentral